GUCUGAAGUGGUCCACCAUGUCCUAUUAAGAAAAUUCCCUGCUGGGGUAGGAGAGAAGAGAAAAGCUCUCUCACAGAACACUUCAGCAUAGUUCUGUAAUGCCUGAGAACUUGCAUCUACCUAACAUCAUCGACAGACUAUUCUGCCAGGAAAAGAUGCCCAAUGAAAGCAAAUCAAUGGGCCGUGGAAGAAACUCUUCCCAGCAGUGACCUAA
Long non-coding RNA from Aethalodelphis obliquidens (Pacific white-sided dolphin), 214 nucleotides. RefSeq lists it as uncharacterized. The transcript is spliced from 3 exons. Lineage: Eukaryota; Metazoa; Chordata; Mammalia; Artiodactyla; Delphinidae. The record is from RefSeq and is a predicted model, not a curated record.